This is a long non-coding RNA of Astatotilapia calliptera (eastern happy), 1183 nucleotides long. The record is from Ensembl. NCBI's taxonomy places the organism in Eukaryota, Metazoa, Chordata, Actinopteri, Cichliformes, Cichlidae.
AAACAACUGGAGGCAAUUGUCAUGGUCCCCGCACCUCGCCAGCUGACAGCAGUCAGGCGCUUUGUUUUGUUUAUUCUCCUCUCUCGCCUCUGCUCUCUCUUUCUCUCUCGUCCUCUCCCACUCUCUCUUUCUCCUGCCGGGGCGGAGCUCAGUAUGGGCUCCCGCUCCUGGCCCACGCACCUGGGGAUGAUCAGCACACCUGCCGCUGAUUACGAGAAUUGGAGUCCUACUUAAGAUGGCGAGUCUGCUCUACUCGUCGCUGGAUCGUUGAGAUUUCCCCUGGACCCGUUUCCCUGUGCACGGUGACUGAGCAUGAGCAAGAGUGGUAGAGGAAAGAAGAGGAGCUGUGUGUGUUUGCGAGGGCUGUAUGGAAAUCUCCCCUCCCUGGACUUCUGCCCCUUUCACUCCAGGACCCUGGAACCCCGGCCCCUUUUCCCCAGACACAGUUGUGUGUGUGUGUGUGUGUGUGUGUGUGUGUGUGUGUGUGUGUGUGUGUGUGUGUGUGUGUGUGUAUAUAUAUUUCACUGUGGAGAACACUGUAAAUAAAUUCACUUUUGAUUUGAAGGAACUUGUAGUCUGCGCCUGAGUCCGCUCCACUAAUCGUGACAGCAAUGAAGCUGAACAAAAAACAGCUUCUUGUUUUAAUCAGCAAUUCAAAGUAAAAAAAAAAAAAAAGUCAGAGAUUGUUUAUAGGCCUUAUAUUUCAUGCCAGCAGUCAUUUUGGAUAAAAGAAAGAUACCCGUCUUUCUCCCCCCCAAGAGUGAACCCACAUUUGCAGGGAAUGAACCAUAAAAGCUGGUGACAUCCAUGGGUUUUCAUCCUGUUAUAAGCAGCACAGGUGCAUCAUGGCUGUGGUAUCACCUCCCGUCAUUGGCUGCGCAUCACAUGGCCUGUCCAUGAGCUGGUCGACAGAAAAUGUGGCAGCAAAGUGAGGGGGUGGAAAUCAAACAGGGAAAAAAAAAAAAAGUAAAAUGGGGUUUACUGUGGCACAAUGACAGUUCAAUCGGCACGCGGUCUUUGGAGUCUCCGAUGGGUUACACAGCCUCAGUGUUUAGCUGUCCCUUUGUAAAUGUCAUAGACAAAGCAGAAAUGCCAGGCUUUGUGUAUUUUCUGGCUGUAGCAUGUCCUGCAGCAGAACAAAAGGAGUUAUUUACAUAAACACGGUGCAGAUGUCCGUCACGCG